Molecule: ribosomal RNA, 253 nt
Filed under: uncultured bacterium
Lineage: Bacteria
Description: partial 16S ribosomal RNA
Rfam family: Bacterial small subunit ribosomal RNA
Source: RNAcentral
UACGUAGGGUGCGAGCGUUAAUCGGAAUUACUGGGCGUAAAGCGUGUGCAGGCGGUUUGUUAAGACAGGUGUGAAAUCCCCGGGCUUAACCUGGGAAUUGCGCUUGUUACUGGCAAGCUAGAGUGCGUCAGAGGGAGGUGGAAUUCCACGUGUAGCAGUGAAAUGCGUAGAGAUGUGGAGGAACACCGAUGGCGAAGGGAGCCUCCUGGGAUGACACUGACGCUCAUACACGAAAGCGUGGGGAGCAAACAGG